Dioscorea cayenensis subsp. rotundata (Guinea yam) is the source of this 107-nucleotide small nucleolar RNA. Lineage: Eukaryota; Viridiplantae; Streptophyta; Magnoliopsida; Dioscoreales; Dioscoreaceae. The record is from RefSeq and is a predicted model, not a curated record.
AUUCUGUGUUGUGGACACUUCCGCAAGAGAUCAUUCAAUCACUCCCAUGUCUCAAACAAGGAUUCAAGCUAAAUCUGAAUAAACGACGAUAUCUCAUUAUGAAGCUU